CGAGCACGCGCGUGUGGCAUAUCAAUAAGCGGAGGAAAAGAAACUAACAAGGAUUCCCUUAGUAACGGCGAGUGAAGCGGGAAGAGCUCAAAUUUGAAAUCUUCAAGGUUCUACCUUGACGAAUUGUAGUUUAUAGAAGUGUUUUCUGUUAGUAGGAGUGGCAAAAGUUCUUUGGAAUAGGACAUCAUAGAGGGUGAGAAUCCCGUAUUUGGUCAUUCCUCCUAGCGUUGUGAUACACUUUCAACGAGUCGGAUUGUUUGGGAAUGCAGUCCAAAAUGGGUGGUAAAUUUCAUCUAAAGCUAAAUAUUGGCGAGAGACCGAUAGCGAACGAAGUACCGUGAGGGAAAGAUGAAAAGAACUUUGAAAAGAGAGUUAAACAGUACGUGAAAUUGUCAAAAGGGAAGCGUUUGACACCAGUGUUGUUUUUCCGAAAAUCAAUUACGAAUGUUUUAUUUUUGAGGAGUUAUGACUUCAUCGGCGUGCUCCUUUCUUUAUGAAACUUUCUUAAUGCACCUUUCGGUUAACAAGUCAACAUCAAUUUCUUUUGUUGUAAAAGGGUAUGAGGAAGGUGGCUUUCUUUUCGGAGAAAGUGUUUAUAGCCUUGUGCCUCUGCAAUCGGAGAGAUUGAGGUCUGCAGCGUAGAUCCUUCGGGGUUAGAUACGUUUGUGCUAAGUUAUAGCUUUUCAUAGACAACUUGUUGACUAUGUUUAGUCUUGUAGCUUACUCGCUGACGCUAUUUUACCUACGCUUAGGAUGUUGAGUAGCGACAUACGCAC
Molecule: ribosomal RNA, 776 nt
Filed under: uncultured Neocallimastigales
Lineage: Eukaryota; Fungi; Neocallimastigomycota; Neocallimastigomycetes; Neocallimastigales
Description: partial large subunit ribosomal RNA
Rfam family: Eukaryotic large subunit ribosomal RNA
Source: RNAcentral